GAAAGCAAAGACCAAGACGGGUUUCAGCAGCUUGGUGCUGUCGGAGAUGGUCGAGUUAAAAUACAUCUGAAAGCAAACAGACAAUCAACAGUCCGAGAUUAGUUUACUUCUAAUAAACAUAUAUUAACACUACAAAAAAACAUAAACAGCAGCGAAGGCAGACAGAGUUGCAUGCUGGGAAGGGAAGGUUUUCCUGUCGGGACAGAAGAAAGAAGAAGAAAGACAAACUUUAAUCAAUAAUCACUUUAAUCCUUCCAUCACAUCAGACGUGACGUCCCGACCAACAGAAACACAGCACGAACAGUUCAGGUUCAGGUUCAGGUGUGCGUUACCUGGUGAAGACCUCCAGCGGGGCGGUGGAGCCCACUCCGGGCAGAGACGAAGCUUUUCCAAACUGCAGCCUGAGCGGGUGUUUGCCCUGCAGCUUGACAAUGACGC
This is a long non-coding RNA of Siniperca chuatsi (mandarin fish), 438 nucleotides long. RefSeq lists it as uncharacterized. The transcript has 3 exons. Lineage: Eukaryota; Metazoa; Chordata; Actinopteri; Centrarchiformes; Sinipercidae. The record is from RefSeq and is a predicted model, not a curated record.